GGAAAAUAUAAAAAGCGGCUUUUAUUGCUAAAAACACCACAAAUACAUUAAAGACAUCAUCGCAUUGAAAGACAACACAGCUUCACACAACAAGCAGUUCAAAAAAGCUUCACACAGAAAACAUAGGAAAUUGAUAAAAAAGACAUCAUCAUGCAACUCAAGCUCCGCUGAUCUCAAUAGACUUGACCUCAGGCUUCUUCUCCUCCGCCUUCGGAAUAGUAACAGUCAGGACUCCAUUUUCCAUUGAAGCCUUCACUUCAUCAACCUUAGCAUUCUCUGGUAACCAGAAUCUCCUCAGAAACUUGCCUCUACCCCUCUCCACCCGGUGCCACUUAUCGUUUUUCUCCUCCUUCUCCAUACUUCUUUCUCCGCUUAUUUGAAGAACCCUUCCUUCCUCAAUCUCAACUUUCACCUCCUCUUUCUUUAGCCCUGGAAGAUCUGCCUUGAACACAUGGGCUUCUGGGGUCUCUUUCCA
RNAcentral lists this unclassified non-coding RNA (475 nucleotides) under Hevea brasiliensis (rubber tree). Lineage: Eukaryota; Viridiplantae; Streptophyta; Magnoliopsida; Malpighiales; Euphorbiaceae. The record is from RNAcentral.